This 83-nucleotide transfer RNA is filed under the name Bdellovibrio sp. Its description in RNAcentral is "tRNA-Leu". It matches the Rfam family "tRNA". Rfam says of the family: Transfer RNA (tRNA) molecules are approximately 80 nucleotides in length. Their secondary structure includes four short double-helical elements and three loops (D, anti-codon, and T loops). Further hydrogen bonds mediate the characteristic L-shaped molecular structure. tRNAs have two regions of fundamental functional importance: the anti-codon, which is responsible for specific mRNA codon recognition, and the 3' end, to which the tRNAs corresponding amino acid is attached (by aminoacyl-tRNA synthetases). tRNAs cope with the degeneracy of the genetic code in two manners: having more than one tRNA (with a specific anti-codon) for a particular amino acid; and 'wobble' base-pairing, i.e. permitting non-standard base-pairing at the 3rd anti-codon position. Lineage: Bacteria; Pseudomonadati; Bdellovibrionota; Bdellovibrionia; Bdellovibrionales; Pseudobdellovibrionaceae. The record is from RNAcentral.
GCUCGCGUGGCGGAAUUGGCAGACGCGCUGGCCUUAGAAGCCAGUGGGCAACCCCCGUAGCCGUUCGAGUCGGCUCGCGAGCA